GGGGGAGUAUGGUUGCAAAGCUGAAACAAAGGACUUGAUGGAAGGGCACCACCAGAGUGGAGGCUGCAGCUUAAUUUGACUCAACAUGGGAAACCUCGCCUGGACACGGACAGGAUUGACAGAUAGCUCUUUCUCGAUUCUGUGGGUGGUGGUUCAUGGCUGUUCUUAGUUGGAGCGAUUUGUCUGGUUAAUUCCGAAAACGAAUGAGACUCUGGCAUGCUAAUUAGUUACAUGACCCCUAAGCGGUCGGUGUCCCCCAACUUCUCAGAGGGACAAGUGGCAUUCAGCCCCCCGAGACUGAGCAAUAACAGGUCUGUGAUGCCCUUAGAUGUCCGGGUCUGCACGUGUGCUACACUGACUGGCUCAGUGUGUGCCUACCCUAUGCUGGCAGGUGCGGGUAACCCAUUGAACCCCAUUCAUGAUGGGGAUUGGGGAUUGCAAUUAUUCCCCAUGAAGGAGGAAUUCCCAGGAAGUGCCGGUUAUAAGCUUGCAUUGAUUAAGUCCCUGCCCUUUGCACACACCACCCAUCGCUACUACCAAUUGGAUGGUUUAGUGAGUACCUUGGAUUGGCCCCGCCGGGGUCAGCCCAUGGCCCUGGCAGAGCACUGAGAAGACGGUCGAACUUUAUCUAGAAGGAAGUAAAAGUCAUAACAAGGUUUCUGUAGGUGAACCUGCAGAAG
Molecule: non-coding RNA, 680 nt
Filed under: Pan troglodytes (chimpanzee)
Lineage: Eukaryota; Metazoa; Chordata; Mammalia; Primates; Hominidae
Description: Eukaryotic small subunit ribosomal RNA
Rfam family: Eukaryotic small subunit ribosomal RNA
Source: Rfam by way of RNAcentral